Molecule: long non-coding RNA, 5157 nt
Filed under: Glycine max (soybean)
Lineage: Eukaryota; Viridiplantae; Streptophyta; Magnoliopsida; Fabales; Fabaceae
Description: long non-coding RNA (GMAX_LNC001493)
Source: RNAcentral
GAAGCCCAUUUGUGUGCAGGGUCCAGAUUGCCCUUAAGUUGAAGGGAGUUGAAUACAAAUUUUUGGAAGAAAAUUUGGGCAACAAGAGUGAUUUGCUUCUCAAAUACAACCCUGUUCACAAGAAGGUUCCAGUGUUUGUUCACAAUGAGCAGCCCAUAGCAGAGUCUCUUGUGAUUGUUGAAUACAUUGAUGAGACAUGGAAGAACAACCCCAUCUUACCUUCUGAUCCUUACCAAAGAGCCUUGGCUCGUUUCUGGUCCAAAUUCAUUGAUGAUAAGGUAACUCAACAUUUCAAAAAUCUUCUUAGUUUUCAUGAUUUGUGCUGAUUUGUCAGCAAAACAUCACGAUGAAAUCUAUAUAUGUGAAAUCUUUCUGGUGUGGAAUAUAUAUGUGAAAUCUUUGAAUAUGUUAGAGAACUCAAAAGUCAACAGCCAACCAUGAUUUUUUUUAAUGUAUCAACUUUUUGUAAAACGAUAUUAGUGAUUUGAAACUUUAUGGAAUCAUAUACUAUGACUUUGGGAGAAAUUUUAUUUUAUUUUACUAUUUUUAUUUGGGGUGGGGGGAUUCUGUCAAGUAUUUGUUUCUAUAUAACUCGAUCUAAAUUCUGUUUGUCCUAAUCACUUUAAGAAAUAAUUACUAAUAAAUAAUGUGAUUUGCGAAAUCAGAUUGUGGGUGCAGUAUGGAAAUCUGUUUUCACGGUUGAUGAGAAAGAGCGUGAGAAGAAUGUUGAAGAAACAUAUGAGGCUCUUCAGUUUCUUGAGAAUGAACUGAAGGACAAGAAGUUUUUUGGAGGAGAGGAAUUUGGGUUGGUAGAUAUUGCUGCUGUCUUCAUAGCAUUUUGGAUCCCAAUUUUUCAGGAAAUAGCAGGGUUGCAGUUAUUCACCAGUGAGAAAUUUCCUAUACUCUACAAAUGGAGCGAAGAAUCCCUUAACCACCCUUUAGUGCAAGAAGUCCUUCCUCCUAGAGACCCACUUUUUACCUUCUUCAAAGCCCGCUAUGAAAGUCUUUCUGCUUCAAAAUAGACUUAUUUAAGGAUAUUUGUUGAACAACUUGUGUCUUGUUGAGUUAUUGAUGUUUGAAUUUCAUGUCAAAUGAUACUAGCUAUAUGUAAAUCCCAAAAAAAAAAAAAAAGAAUCCUAGGAUCUUGUUUUCGUUUUGGCCAUUUCAGUUAAUAAAGAAAUUAUAUUUUUCGAUAUAAAUUUUGUUGUGAGAAGCUUUAUUCUUCCUUCAUUAAAUCCUUCAAUGUGCAUAAUCUUAUUCGUAGAGAGACUUAGAGCGGCUAGUAGCUACUACCUUAAAAAUUUUGCUUCAAUUCGAAGGACAACGUAUAUAUUAUGUAAUAUGUAAUUAAAUUUCAGCCAUACAAUUAUUUGUGUCUCUGGUUGACUUAAUGUUGUUCAAAUUUGAUGUCAAAUUGACACUUAAAGUAAUAUGUAAUAUGAUUUCCUAAGUUCUCUUUUGCUUGCCAAGCAGCAACAUGAAAAGCUGUGUGAAACAUAGAAUUUAUAGUUUAUUGAGAUAAAAGAGCCGAGUGAAAAAAAAAUCAUGGUGUGACUCUCAGAUAAACCACAAGUUGAGAUUGUUGACCACUGAAAAUUUUCAAAAACUCCACAAAAAUGGAGUCAGGAAUCAGGAGGAUUCACCAACCAACCAACAACAUAAUAAAUCAAUUGAAUCUAAAAGGAAGAGUAUUAGUAAGUAAUAACACGUUCUCUAAUACAUUUUUAAGACACUUUUUUUUUAUAAAGAAAUCUGUAUAGUAAAUUUUAAAUUAAAUAAUAAAUUGUUAAUAAAAUAUAAAGCACCAUUAAAUUUUUUUUAUUUUUAGAAUUAUUUGUUUACAUGCAGAAAUAAUUAUUAAUUCUUAAGUAUCCCUUAAAAGGAUAUAAGAAAAUUAGUGUUUAUAACACACAUUUAUUGUAGGGGUGUUCAAAUCUAAACAAAUCCAAAAAUAAAUCACAAAAAUUGAUAAAAAAAAAACUUCAAACCAAUAAAAAUUUAUUUGUUUUGGAAUUUUUUAUUACUAUUUUGUAUAAUCAAUCAGGUUUGAAUUUGGAUGAUAUUUUCAAAAUUGAACCAAUUCAAAUCAAACCUCACAUUAUAUUAACAUCAAUCUUACUAGGUAUUGAGCAUUAGGUAAUUGUAUUUUAAACUUUUAAUAGUUAUAAUAUAUAAUUUAUAAUUUAAUUCUUUUUAUAAGAUGUUCAUAAUAUGUGGUUUUUAUUAUUCUAUUAAUAAUAAAUAUUAAAUUAAUUUAUAAUAUUUUUUGCUCUGUAAUUUGAUCUGCAUAAUUUACUUUUACAUGUUACAGAAAGAGCAUAGCAAUAUAGUUGAAGAAUAAUGCUAAAUAUCAAAUAUUAUGCAAGUUACUUUUACAUCACAAGAUGAUGAUGCCAAUAUAAUUAAGAAAAAAUGUUAAACAGUAGUAAAAAGUAUUGUUUUUCAAAUUUUAAAAAGAGAUAGAAAAGAAAAUUUAUAUUUUAGAUCAGUAUAGCAUAAUAAUAAUUAUGUAAAUUUAGUUAUUAAAUUUUAUAUUGUAUUUAUAAAUUUUAAAAAACAUAAAUUCAUCAAACUGAACUGUAAAAAAUUAGUUUGGUUUAAUUUAAAUUUCAUGUUACUUUUAAAUUCAACUAAUCCAAAUCACAUAUUAAUUCUAUGUUUGGUUAUUAUUUUUCUUCUAAAAAUCAAACUAAAUCGCAUUACAUAUACCAUGUGUUUUCAGUUUGAAGAGAAAGAAGUGACGAGAGUUUUAAGGGAAAAGUGAAAAAAAAUGUGGGACUUAUUUAAAAAAAUGAAAUGACUCAUCUGGUUAUCUAUCAUUUUAUUUUGAAAUAUGUAAAUAUAAUAUUAAUACGAAUAAAUACAUAUUUACAACAAACACACAUUUUUCUAUUUCUUCUAUUUAUUUCUACUUGUCUCAAUCCAAGUAACUUAAAAAUCUUCUCAUUAAAUACUCAUUCUCUCUUCUAUUCUCUUCUCUUUUAAAUCUUUUUAAAAUUUUCUCUCAUUUUUUCCAUACGCUUUGGCAUGCACGAGCAUUGCAAUAGGACCUUCUUUGACAUCUCACAAGAAUGUUAGCACCUCAAAUCAUUUAUCAUACAAACAAAACAUUAACGCACUAUAAUUCAUUUGUAUUAAAUAUAAGAUUUAAAUAUAAUUUUAAUAUUAAUCCUUAAAAAAUAAGACCAUUUUGACUUUGGUCUUUUAAAAAAAUUAUUUUAAUUUUAGUCCAUGUAAAAUUUUUUUUUUUAAAUCUUUAUUGUCAAAUAGCAACAUUAACUGAUAUGAUAACUACAAUAUUUCACAUAAUUAUGAAAUCUUAAAGAAUAGGUACAUCUAAUAUGCUUAAAACUGAGUAAGUAUAUCAGACUGGUCGAUAAGAUUUUUUUUUUUUUAUGUAAUUUGAUGAGAUAUAUUAAAACAUAGUUUAUUAAAAAGUAUAUGCAUAAUUGUUUUGUCAUGCUUUUUAAUUACGUGGCAAAGUCAAUAAAAUCUAAAUAUCAUUGUUAUGUCAUCAAAUUGGAUCAUUUGACAGAGACUAAAACUAAACAUAUUAAAUUUUACGUGAACUAAAUCAAAAUAAUAUUAUUUUUCAGAAUAUAAAAAUCAUAUUUAUGCCUAAUAAGAAAUUACAUAAUCUCUUGCAUCAUUUUUUCUCUCUCUUCAUAUAUAGGUGCAUAAAAUUAUUUUGAUGAGGAAGGUUUCUUCAAUAUUUUCAAAAUCCUCCUUCAAUUUAGUGAUUGCGGUAGAUAUUCAAUUAGAAAAAAUAUCUCUUAGUAAAAUCAAUAUCAUUGAUUAUUUUUUUAGAAUUCCUAUAUUGCAUGUUAUGAUAAUUUAUAGAAUAAAUCAUAGCAAUACUCGUUGAACUUUUAUCAAAUUAUACAUAAUUUUAUCCUUUUUUAUUUUCCUAGACUUCUUUUUUUAAGUUUGAAAACAUUAUAUUGACGUCUCUUUAAAUGUUUGAAAACAUUACACUACAAUAAUCUUCCUUUAAUUUUCAAAAUAUUACAUUGACACUUUCUUAUAUGUUUAAAAAUGCUAUUGUAAUAUUCCUUCAAAUCUUACACUAAUAUUUCUUAUAAGAAAUGUCAAAAGUAAUGAUCCUAUAAAAAGAUGUAUAAUUAUAUUAAAUUUUUAUAGAUGUUGUUGUAAUUUACUCUAAUGUAUUCAUCUUUUGUUCUAAAAUAAUUAUUGUGUGAAAAAAAUAUUUAUUCUAAAAUAAGUAUCAUUUUAAAUUUUUAAAGUAACUUUUAUUAUUUUUUCUAUUCAUAUUCCUUAUAAUAUUAAUGAUAUGGGUAACAAAAAUUAAUAUUAAUGAUAUGGGUAACAAAAAUUAAAAGUGAAUUAAUGGUGAUAAAGUUAAAUUUAAAAAAAUGUUAUUUUUUUAUCUAUUUAUUAAUUUUUUUUAUUUGUGUAAAAUAAUCUAGUAUGAUAAUUAUAAAUAAUGAAAUAAGAAAGUAUUUUUUUUUUGUUGACAACAACCAUAAUCACUCCUUUUCAAGGGUGUGUAUUUUAUGGGAUCGAAUAAAACCACGGUGUGUGUUACUAUCUAAGUUUUAUCUAUGGAGUAAAAAGUACAUAUUUGACUAUUCAUUAGGAGAAUAUAUAUAAAAAAAAUUCUAUACGGUUUACGUAAUCUCUUACAUCAUUUAUUUUCCCACAUUCUAUAAAUAUAUAAUACAUCUUAUCUAACUGAUGACGUAUCCGCUGAAUACUAGUCCUGAUUCCCGGCUCAAUAAGAGGAGAAUACCUUAGGAAUCCAUAAGAAACAUUAAUUCACCACUAUAGUUGUUCCUUUUGAAGGUUAGAAGUGCUACAAUGGCUGCUAAUCAGGAAGAUACUCAGGAAGAUGUGAAGCUUUUGGGUAUUGUGGGAAGCCCAUUUGUGUGCAGGGUGAAGAUUGCCCUCAAGUUGAAGGGAGUUCAAUACAAAUUUUUGGAACAAAAUUUGAGGAACAAGAGUGAACUGCUUCUCAAAUCCAACCCAGUUCACAAGAAGGUUCCAGUGUUUAUUCACAAUGAGAAGCCCAUAGCAGAAUCCCUUGUGAUUGUUGAGUACAUUGAUGAGACAUGGAAGAACAACCCCAUCUUACCUUCUGAUCCUUACCAAAGAACCUUGGCUCGUUUCUGGUCCAAAUUCAUUGAUGACAAGGUAACU